GAUGAACGCUGGCGGCGUGCCUAAUACAUGCAAGUCGAGCGAACAGACGAGGAGCUUGCUCCUCUGACGUUAGCGGCGGACGGGUGAGUAACGCGUGGAUAACCUACCUAUAAGACUGGGAUAACUUCGGGAAACCGGAGCUAAUACCGGAUAAUAUAUUGAACCGCAUGGUUCAAUAGUGAAAGACGGUUUUGCUGUCACUUAUAGAUGGAUCCGCGCCGCAUUAGCUAGUUGGUAAGGUAACGGCUUACCAAGGCAACGAUGCGUAGCCGACCUGAGAGGGUGAUCGGCCACACUGGAACUGAGACACGGUCCAGACUCCUACGGGAGGCAGCAGUAGGGAAUCUUCCGCAAUGGGCGAAGGCCUGACGGAGCAACGCCGCGUGAGUGAUGAAGGUCUUCGGAUCGUAAAACUCUGUUAUUAGGGAAGAACAAAUGUGUAAGUAACUAUGCACGUCUUGACGGUACCUAAUCAGAAAGCCACGGCUAACUACGUG
RNAcentral lists this ribosomal RNA (497 nucleotides) under uncultured bacterium. Its description in RNAcentral is "partial 16S ribosomal RNA". It matches the Rfam family "Bacterial small subunit ribosomal RNA", at positions 28 to 507 of the family's 1533-position model. The record is from RNAcentral.